ACCCCCAUGUAUUCAUAUGCUAAUUGGGGAACUACCUUGCCAGCAGCUUUUUAGUCAGAGACAAGCCUGCUGCCUUACAAAGCCUAAACUGGCAUCAUGUUAUAGAAAAGCUAGAGUUUGAUAUCUAACACCAGUUGUGCAUCAAAUGGAAUUUCCCAUCCCAAAAACUUGGCAAUCCUUGAGUCUUAUAUCUGAUCUCUUGCUUUAUAUCCGAUCUCUCGCUUCUAGCAUAUCUGAAUUGCAAAAGCCUACAAUGCUAAAACCCUGUACGAUUGGUUUUCUUAUUCACAUCCAACUAAGAAAUUACGAGAAUUACUGAUAUUUUAAUCACAGUGACAACCAGCUUACCCAUAGAGAAAUGCUCCUAACACCGAAAUACUAUUCCUUCUAAAGGAAUAGAAAUCAUUUGAUACGAACUUAGGAGAAUCACA
RNAcentral lists this unclassified non-coding RNA (431 nucleotides) under Hevea brasiliensis (rubber tree). The record is from RNAcentral. Lineage: Eukaryota; Viridiplantae; Streptophyta; Magnoliopsida; Malpighiales; Euphorbiaceae.